AUGUUUUCCAGUGUCCUGAGGACAAAGUCCAAAUUCCUCUGCUGGGAUGCCAAGGCCACUGGCCAAGCAGGAGUAAGGGAGGAUAGAUUUGGUGGUAGCCGUGGUGAAGGGCUCCUGUCACGGGCUCUCGCCUUGUCACAAAGGGAGGAGGCUAAGUCUUCUGCAGACAGUGGUGCUGGGGGUGGAAGCUGGCUGUCCAUUACCCUAUGGGAUCAGUCCUCUGGGGCCAUGAGCCCUAGUCUCCAUCUCCCGUCCUUCCCGGGAGAGCCUGGUGCUGGACUCGCCCACAGCAGCUGCUCAGUCAGAUGCUUAUGCCAGGUAACCCCCUCUUUCCCCAUUUUCUGAGCCUCUAUGCUUCUGCUUUUUCUUUAGUUUCUUAAAAGAAAUAUUGUAAAUAACCGGGCAAGGUGGCAUGCGUCUGUAAUCCCAGCUACCCCGGAGGGUGAGGCACAAGAACCUGCAAGGCAGAGGUUGCAGUGAGCAGAGAUCACGUCACUGCAGUCCAGCCUGGGUGACUCAUGGAGACUCGAUCUCAAAGAAAAAAAAAAAAAAGAAAUAAUGUGAGAAUUGCAAGAGUCUAACUCUGUCUCAGAUGAAAGGAAAGGGUAUUUCUCCCCAUAUUACAGGAAAGCAGGACAUUUUGUACUCCCAUAUCAGGCCAGGAGUGGGUCAUAGCGAUCGAUUGCUCUUGGGCACUCAGGAAGAGUGAGAACUGCGGUAGAGAGCAUGGGGCUUUGGGAGGGACAGAUUCAGGGACAACAGGGGCAGUGGCCUACUUUCCCUAUCCCCUCCCAGUUAUAGGUGGGUCUCUCCUUGCUCCUUGCAUGCACAUUGCCAUCUGCCAUGCCGGAGUCCUUCAUCCACCCAAUAAAGAACCUACUCUGUGUCAGCUGGGCGCGGUGACUCACGCCUAUAAUCCCAGCAUUUGGGGAGGCCGAGGUGGGCGGAUCAUGAGGUCAGGAGUUCAAGACCAGCCUGACCAACAUGGUGAAACCUCGUCUCUACUAAAAAUACAAUAAUUAGCCAGGUGUGCUGGCACACGCCUGUAAUCCCAGCUACUCAGGAGGCUGAGGCAGGAGAAUCACUUGAACCCGGGAGGCAGAGGUUGCAGUGAGCCAAGAUCUUGCCGCUGCACCCCAGCCUGGGCAACAGAGGGAGACUCUGUCUCAAAAAAAAAAAAAAAAAAAAGGACCUACUCUGUGUCAAGCCUAUGCUGGGAGCA
Molecule: long non-coding RNA, 1222 nt
Filed under: Macaca mulatta (Rhesus monkey)
Lineage: Eukaryota; Metazoa; Chordata; Mammalia; Primates; Cercopithecidae
Description: lncRNA (ENSMMUG00000062446.1)
Source: RNAcentral